AUAUAUAGUUUCAGAUUGGGUAAAAUGGUGGGUCAAACGUCCAUUUUACCGCCGUAUUGUUGGGUCUUUAGUCGAUUGUCGGGUCCCAAAGUCGAUUAUCGGGCACUUGGACCCGACAGUUGAAGACCCACUUAAUAAAAGGCUGCUUAACAUCCUCAUGACUAUUUUUUAAUUCAAAUUUGCGUAUGUAAUUUUACUCGAAUUGUCGGGCCUAUAUCUCCCAUUCGCAAACUUUAGAUCAAACUCCUCACGGCAGUUACUUCCCUUGGGCAUCUUCUAGAAUAAGGGAGGCCACUGAGCCCUUUUCGGAAAGUCGCAUAUCUCCCCUGAGUAUUCUCCGGAAUUGGAGGUUCUCAAUCGCUGGCAUUCGGUACCCCUCGCAGAUUAUCAUAAUACUUAUCCGAUGUUUGACGGAAAGGGCCGAGAAUGUGCGAUUGAAUCGCUGGGUAGUAUUGAUUUCCAGUAACAAUGGCGUCGAAUGAGAAAGAAAACGAUCGUUAUCUGUCUGACAUCGAAAUUGACAAAUUAAGUGUUGCACAAUUGAAGGAUUAUUUACGAUUUCAUAAUCAUUAUGUGUCAGGGAAUAAGAAUGAACUUGUCUUGAGGACAAAAGGCGUACAAAAGCUAGGAUUAAAUGAUCGACAGCUGCACAGGAAUGCGGAAGUAAAUUAUGAAAAAAGGAAAACAGAAAAACUUUUUACGCCACUCGGUGAAAAGCUGCCACAUCCAGAUGUAUUAAAAACGUUGAGUAGUGACUUAAUGGACUUUCCUACAUUAAUAGAUAGUGACAUCUACAAUUAUUUUGUGCUGAAAAUGAACACACAAAAACAAUUGAGAUCAAAAAAUUGUAUUAUGUUUACAGACAUAAACACAGUAUUUUGUACCAUGACAUAAGUGACAAAUGGGAACAUUGUUUUGUUAAAUGCAAAGUAUUACCAUCACUACCGAGUGCAAAUGUGAAAGAAAACCCAGAUCACAGUGUGUGGCUCUGUCUGUCAAAGGUCACUGGACAGGUUCAUUCAGCGGAAUGUAAUUGCACAGCCGGGAGCGGAGAAGCAUGUAUCCAUAUUGGUGCAUUUAUGUAUGCCCUUUCUGAUCUCACUGCUAAAAAGAAGGACGGCACUCUAAGAUCAACCUCAAAAAAAUGCGUGUGGGACAGAUUUAAUAAUCCCCGGAAAAGAAAGCGAACGCCUAAAAAGUCUAGCGAAUUUACAUUUCGGAAACAUACCUUUGAGUCAAAAUUAGAGCCAGUCGAAAAUAACACCAGAAAAGAACUUCUUGCGAUUUCUGUAAAUGAGAACAGUUUCCGUUCAAAACUCGAAAAUAUGCAACCCAACAGCUGGAUGGCUUUUGAACUUUGUAGAAGAGAAGGAAGAGGUGAAAUUACCAAAGUUUAUAGAAAUUGGAUAUAACUUUAGUGAUAGCGUAGAUCUGAAUAGUGAAACUGUGAAGGAUAAAAUGUCGAAAAUGAUGGAUAUGCUACAAAUGGAUGAACUUGAAUGCCAAAGUAUUGAAAAAUUAACCAGAGGUCAGGGAAAGAACGUACUUUGGGAAGAUGAAAGAAAAUUACGUGUAACUGCAUCCAAUUUUGGUGAAGUAAUUUUACUGAAACAAGAGACUGAAAGAUUUAAAAGAAAUUGAGUGCAAUCUUUAAAGAAUAGUAACAAAUAUGAAUUUAAGAUCACAAUUGUGAAUUUCUCGCAAGCUUACCCUUGCUCCUAGAAUAUGUUUUUAUAAUUUUGAUGUCUCACUUUUCUCUAGAGAUUAACCCUUUACUUCUUAAAUAUGUAUUUUCAAGCUUUUGUAGUUCCUUAAAAAGUUAAAUGUAAUAAAGUACCUUUAUUACUAAAUUUAAGUUUUAAAGGCUUCAUUUCCAACCCUUAAAUACUGAUGAGCAGCAAACAGUAUAAAACCUGAACAGACUGCGAGUUACUAGCAUGCUGUUCUGGUUUUAUGCUGUUUUCACUGUGCUUCCAAGUGGAAUAGGGUUAAAUAACAAAAGUUAACGCCAGAUCAGAAAAUAAUUUAAGUAACAACAGUACAGGACAUCAUUGAGGUCCCUCCUUUUUUAUGUUUCAAUAGUCAUUUAGCUCUACAAAGCAUAUAAAUAUUGUACAUAAAAGUGUAUGAAUGUAUAAAUAUUUAUCAACUGUUCAUAUUAUGAAUUUUACAGUAGUACAUGUAGAAUGCUUUUCAACGAUUUGUGUACGGUUCAUUAAUACCAUCACAACGUGAUUGUCAAUUGUUAUUCCGCUAAAUUGAUUUGCUCUUAAAAUGAUAAAUCAUAAAAAGAACUUUUGCUAUGUUAUUAUCCAUCACUUAUUACCUUACCUGUGUUUGGAGAAAAACCGAAGGGUUUACGAUAAUAAUCUGUUUCAAAAUGUUAAAAUGAUAUGAAAUUAAUGAGUGGCAAGCAUGAACCAAAUUAAGAAAAUCAACACAGAGGUAUCAACAGCUGCAUCUUAUUAAAAAUCUGUGCACAAUGCUUUUUGUCCAAGUAUAGAUCAUUUCAGAACCCCAUUGAGUUAAUAGACACCUUGGAAGCUUUGCUGGUAUGACUUCUGCUUUACAUCUGACAAGUACUCUGCAGGUGUUGCUACUUGUAUCAGAAAUCUUGGUUUUAAACAAGAGCUGUCACCAUAGGAUGACUUAUGCCCCCUAUAUACGCUUGAUAGAAGUUAUGAGCAUUUUCCCAAACCUAAAUGCAUAUUUCGAAACCUAAACACGGACCCUAAGUUUAAGGUCAAGGUCACAGGGGUCAAAGUUUGUGUGCAUAUGGAAAGGCCUUGACCAUAUACACAUGCAUGCCAAAUAUGAAAAUGCUAUCUGAAGCGACAUAGAAGUUAUGAGCAUUUUUCGAAACCUAAACGCAAAGUGUGACGGACAGACCGACAGACAGUCCGAUCACUAUAGCGACAUAGAAGUUAUGAGCUUUUUUCGAAACCUAAAUGCAUAUUCGAAACCUAAACGCGGACCCUUAGUUUAAGGUCAAGGUCACAGGGGUCAAAAUUUGUGUGCGUAUGGAAAAGCUUUGUCCAUAUACACAUGCAUGCCAAAUAUGAAAUUGCUAUCCAAAGCGACAUAGCAGUUAUGAGGAUUUUUCGAAACCUAAACGCAAAGUGUGACGGACGGACAGACCGACAGACAGUCUGAUCACUAUAUGCCCUCCUUCGGGGGCAUAAAAAUUCUUGACGGGUUUAUUGCUCCCAAUUAUAAAUUAACUGUUGAUUAAGUCUUCAGUAGCAGUACUAAACCUUAAAGACAAACAUUUACUUAGGUAUACAAAAGAAAUCUGUGUUUUCAACGCUCUGUGUCAAUUAAUGUAUGUAAACUUGAAUCCAGUACAAUAUUUAUCAGAAUUUCAGUCUUAUAAUUUGUUUGGUCUUACAAAACUGCUUUCAAGCAAGAAAACAUGUAUAAAUAUAUUGGCACAAACACACAAACGCAGAAACACAAUUUUCUUUUUUUGCCUGAAAAUGUUUGUAUGGAAUAUGAGACAAGAAAAUAAUAAUCAGUAACAAUUUUAUUUUCACAAAUGAAAGCUGACUGUAAAAUGUGAAAUUAAGUAUUAUUCACAUAAUUACAUAGUAUAUUACUUAUACAUACAUGCAAUGGUCAAACACUUCUAGUUAAAUUGUAUACUGAAUUUCUCACAAAGUUCACUUGUUCAGCUUCUUAUCAAACUUAAUUUGUACUAGUUUUAAGGAGCCACUUUUCCAGUUUAUAUUAGCAUGACUAUUUUCAGUUUAUAAACACACUUUAUUUUCCGGGGACAGGUUUUUCGUGCUAACCCUGCUUUCAUUCCAACACUGACCUCAUCAAAUAAACACUCAAAAGUUCCAGCAGUUGGGAUACCAGUGUAGAACAACACCUUAUCGUCAUCAUCCCUUAUAUCCUCAAAGGUGAAGCUAGGCCGAUCCACUUGUAUCCCAACUGUCGACGUUUCAGUAGAAGUCUGGGUUGAUAUACUUCUGGGAACUCUCGUAUCGUCGGUUUGAGUAACCACAGAAAUCAGCUCCGGUUGCACUUGUUCACACUGAUGACGGAUUAUGGCGGGUACUGGUGUAAACCUUCCAUAGUCAUGGAGCUGAAAUAAAUAAAUACAUUUUUACAAGCAAAGUAAAUGCAGUUUGAAGUAAAGAUUAUAGGUCUUUCUGUAUUUUACUAAGGCAUCACCAAACUGAUAACUUCUUCAGUUUUUUUCUUUAAAAAUGGGAAGAGCAUGAAAAACAACUAUCUAUUUAUACUGCCAAGUGCCCUUUCGAGCAUGGUAGGCAGACAUGGACAUUAUCGAGUCGGUUUCCUGGGAAGAACCAGUACUUGGUGUCCAUGGAGGAGAUAAUUAGAAUGCUUCCCAAGUAAGGAGUGAACCCACUAACACCCGAUCGCUAGGCGGAUAUCUCAUCCACUACAACACCGCGACCUUGAACUACAAAUAUUUUUUUAUGUCCCCCACUAUAGAAGUGGGGGACAUAUUGUUUUUGCCCUGUCUGUUGGUUGGUCUGUUGGUUGGUUGGUUUGCGCCAACUUAAACAUUUUGCAAUAACUUUUGCUAUAUUGAAUAUAGCAACUUGAUAUUUGGCAUGCAUGAGUAUCUCAUGGAGCUGCACAUUUUGAGUGGUGAAAGGUCAGAGGUCAAAUAUAUGUGGCCUAAAUUGCUCAUUUUAUGAAUACUUUUGCAAUAUUGAAGAUAGCAACUCGAUAUUUGGCAUGCAUGUGUAUCUCAUGGAGCUGCACAUUUUGAGUGGUGAAAGGUCAAAGUCAAGGUCAUCCUUCAAGGUCAGAGGUAAAACAUAUUUGUCCCAAAUCGCUUAUUUUAUUAAUACUUUUGAAAUAUUGAAGAUAGCAACUUGAUAUUUGGCAUGCAUGUGUAUCUCAUGGAGCUGCACAAUUUGAGUGGUGAAAGGUCAAGGUCAUCCUUCAAGGUCAAGGUCAUCCUUAAAGGUCAAAUAUAUGGGUCAAAAUUGCUCAUGUAAUGUCACUUCUGCAAUAUUGAAGCUAGCAAUUUUAUAUUUGAAAUGCAUGUGUAUCUCAUGGAGCUGCACAUUUUGAGUGGUGAAGGGUCAAGGUCAUCCUUCAAGGUCAAACAUUAUUUAGGGGGACAUUGUGUUUCACAAACGCAUCUUGUUUCAAAUUAUCUUUAUUCAACAACAUUUUGUAUAACGAUAAAACAACUCACUCUUAGAGAUACGUCUAGUAGUGAUGCACUGCUUUCAACCAACAAACCAUCUGCCUCGUUCUCGAAACUCAAGUCUGGUGAACGGUUAUCUGACAUUUCCUCAGUUUCUGGUGUGGAAUUCGUCUCAUCUGCUUCAGGGCCAUUUUCCAGAGUCUGUAAGGUAAACAAAUAAAAUUAAAUCAGCACAUCAAAGACCUAGAAAUACACAUACUUUUUCAAACUAACAUGAAAGAAUGAUGUUCAGAUACGUAAUAUUUAUGCUUCUGUAUCAUGUUGUAAACACCGUCAGAUUCUAUACCGAUAGAGUAACUGACCCAUGUUCAUUCUUGAAACCUCGUAUAGCCUAGUGGCAACAUAUCCGCUUCAAAAUAUCAGAUACCAUUGGUUCGAUCCUCGGCUGUGAGCUACAUAAAAUAAAUCAUGAACUGUGCCAUGGGUAUGUCUGCCAUUAUCCCAUGCUUGAUUGUACCACAAGGAAUCACUGAUUUGAAUAGUAAGCUCGAUUUAAUAAUCCAUCGGAAUCGUUUUAAGGUGAUAAUCUGAUUACACGCAGUGCGCAAUCUGAUUAUGUGAUGACUUAAAUUAGUAUAAGUAUUAA
Dreissena polymorpha is the source of this 5777-nucleotide long non-coding RNA. RefSeq lists it as uncharacterized. The transcript is spliced from 3 exons. Lineage: Eukaryota; Metazoa; Mollusca; Bivalvia; Myida; Dreissenidae. The record is from RefSeq and is a predicted model, not a curated record.